CAGAAACAGACUUUUGGCUUUAAUGCUGCUUUUCAUUUUCUCAGCACUAUCCAAAAUUUGCAGAGGGCUUGCUCCUAAGUUGGUGGCAGCAUGCAUCACGGGGGUCGUUCGGGCUUCUUGGUGGCAUGUUAGCACCUCUCACCUCUGGUCCAAAGCUACUGAUGUUCGCUCCAUUUUUGGAACACUACUGCAAGUUCCACACUUAACCAGCACUUGGAUGCCAUUGUUAUAGGAUAUAAAAAAAGAUUUUCAAUUCUAACAGCACCUGAUAACAUAACUGGGCAUUAAUAAAGAAAUAACUCUGUGAAUUUCCAAAGCAUGGCUGUGAUGCCCACGAGGACUGACAAAGGAUGGAGGUUGUGUAUUUAUCAGCUUACCUGGUACCUCUAGGCUGUGGAAGUAGAGUUAACCACAUCUGACAAUUCCCUGGGCCUGCCACCUUGAAAAGUACAGGAUUUUUGACAUUUUUGAACUGAAAGUUACAAUAUUUCAAAACAUACUCUGAGUCUUUAUUUUUUAUUUAUUUAUUUUGAGACAGAGUCUCAUGUGUCGCCCAGGCUGGAGUGCAGUGGUGAUCUUGGCUCACUGCAACCUCCGCCUCCCGGGUUCAAGCAAUUUUCCUUUCUCAGCCUCCCGAGUAGCUGGGAUUACAGGCAUCAGCCACCAUGCCCAGCUAAUUUUUGUAUUUUUUGUAGAGACGAGGUUUUGCCGUGUUGGCCAGGCUGGUCUCAAAUUCCUGGCCUCAAGUAAUCUGCCCGCCUCGGCCUCCCAAAGUGCUGGGAUUACAGGCAGGAGCCACCGCGCCUGGCCUCUGAAUCUUUAUUAAUAUAUAUACAUUACAUAACUGCAAGUUUUUAAAAAGUAGGACUGUCAUGUGAAGUAACUCUGGCAGGAUGCACUGAAGCUGAGCCCAGCGCAGUAACAGGCCCUCAGUGAGGAAAGGCAGAGCGUGAAGUGGUUGAGUGUCCAAGCUCUGGAGGCACAGGGCCGGGGUUAAAAUCCCAGCUCUGCCACUUCCUAGUUCUGUGAAGUUAAGGCAAGUCAUGCAAACUCUCUGUGCCUCAGUUUAUUCAUCUGUAAAUUGAGGCUAACUACUACUCAUAGAUGUUUUGUAAGGAUUAAAUGAAUCUAAUACAUGUAAGCAACUUAGAGUAGAUAUAUUUUAUUUGCAAAGAGAUUUGAACAGUGUCUGGUAUAUAACAAGCCGAUUUACAUGUGGGGUUUUUUCUUCUUUUUUUUUUUAAAUGGGCCUGAGAGGCACCUCAGGAGUGGAAUCCACAUGACUUUUUGCUCACAGGGCAUGGAUAGAAACUGAAACCCAGGGAGAGCCAGGGAAGCAUUUAAUAGAAAUUGAGGAGGGAGAUUAGUGGGUAGCCUGGCUAGGGCGGGAAGCCCCCAGACACUGUCUCAGUAGCAAGGAGAGGGGCUAGGACAGGGCUUUUACCUCCUGAGGAUGCAAACCCAGCUGCAGGUUGUCUGCCACCCCUCUCUCUACACACACACACAAGAUACUAGUCAGGACAUUGGAGCUUCUGAUGCACAGACACCAUGACCCGAAAUCACAGAGCUGGUGGGAGGACAGACUUCGGACCCUAAACUCCCAAGACUCCUAAAAUAUUCCCUGGGCAACCUCCAAAAUCUUUCCACAAGAAAAACAUGGCAAAUUGAACCCCAAGGGCCUCUCUGGAAGCCCUAAUGUAUAACUUCUGUCUCAAUUAACCAGGGCACGACUAUUGCUCCUUUCAGGAGCAAAUUAAACAGCUCAACACUGCGAUUGCACCUGUGUAACUCUCCUAGCUGUUCCCUAUCCAUGCCAACACUGCAUGUAUAUAUAUAUACACAUAUAUAUUUGAUUCACUCUGAGAGGGACACUUAAUAAUGACAUUUCCUAUCCCCCCUCCAAUUAUCAAAAUAAACCCUACCAGUCCUUCAGAGACAACCAACAGCCCACAAGAUCCCCCUUGUUUGAGCGCUGAGCCUCUCAAAGGUGAUCCUGGCCACUUCUACUUUCUGAAACAGGUGCCCCCAAUAAAGAAAUACUAGAUCAGAAUUACAAAAGUUGAAGAUUAUUUUAAGUGAUUACAUAUAACAAAUUAAAUACAAUGUAACAUAAUUAGGUGGUGCUAGUUCCAAAAUAAGCAUGGGACUUAUAAAAUUUAUGAAUUCAUAGUGUAACUGGGGCAGUCUGGUCCAAUCAUCAUGCACAGUUUACAGGCGGAGAACAACUUCAUUCUGUCCCAUCGCUGUCUCUCUUCAACCUUUGUGUGUAAUUUCAUUUGGAGAUAAUAUCAAAAGUUGCAAAGUCUUUCAUGAAUGUGAUAUCUGGGCCAAAUAGUCCCUGCCUUCAACACUGCAUUCCCCAUUGGAGGCCCUGUUUGAGCUCCUAACAUUUAACUCAGUCUUACCAUCUUAGACACAUCUAGUAGUCAUUGGUCUUGUUUGUGGCUGCCCACCAUCUUUUGAACAACUCUCCCGUGUUUGGGGAAUUUCCUUCCACCCAGCUAGGAAUUCCAUCUCUCCUAGGUAUUAACAGCAGGAUGAACUCACUUUUUCAGCUGAUCUUGCAACCAUGCUUCAGGCAUAAGGCUGAGGUUCCCCUAAUUAGAUGCACCCCAGUGAAGAGAUUUGGAAAGAGAGCCAUGUGAGGAAGGUAGAUUAUAUGGAUUUGAUCCUUUGGAAAUGGUGGCAGCAGAGGAAUGGCUUUGGGACAGCACCAGUGGUAGAGCUUCUGGUUCCUGCUGUCCAGUGUCAUGGGCAUUAUCUACAUUGGCGGUGGACACUGAGUAGUACUGCAGUGUAGAUUGUGUAUUGCUCCCUGAUGCAUAGCCUUUAGGCUUGAUCCUAGAGAUCUGUGGGAUACCUAAAAUUCUGUAAUUCCUUUUCCACUUGAGCUAUAGUGCGUUCUGUUUGCAAUAAAGCACACUGACUGCCACACCUUUUGAUGGGUAUCUGCCUAUCUCAUAGCCCUCUUCUCUUCCCUGAGACCAGCCUCUCGUACCCAUGGUGCCAGGCAGGAGAGGAAGCUGCUGCCAUGUCUGUUCUUUCCAGCCUGGCCCACAGCCAUAGCUGAUUGACCAGGUUAGAUAGACACCUGACUCAUGACACCAAACAGCUCUCCCCUGGAAAUCUGGAAUGAGAAUUCAGAGAUGCUGGUGAGUCUCUGUUGUUGCUCAAAUUGAGGAUCCAGAGCCUGAGUUUUGGUGGGGCAGGAGGGGAAAGGAGUGUUCUGUUGACCUGUGUAUACCAAGGCAGAAAAAGCUGGUCUGCAGAGAGAAAAAUAAAGCAAAUAUAUUGUGGACACAAUAAUCCUUUGUCAGGCCAAGUGACACUUCCCACUGGAAGACCUUAAGACUUAUUCCUGUAGCUUCAUAUCACAUUUCUCUUUCAGGCUUAAGCCAGUAGAAUUUUGUUACUUUAAACUAUAAGAAUAUUUUCUAAAAUAGCCACUAAUUUGGUAAUUAUCACGUACCUCUUGAGAUUUCCCAAGAUGGUUGUCUUGUAUUGCUAUUUUUUUCUAUAAUGUUUAUAUAAAUAUAAUAUUAUAUAUAAUAUACACUUAUACUUUUAUUAUAUGAGUCUUAUACAUAUAAUAGCUUUGUUUUAUACAUAAUCAUGUGAGUUUGUGGGGUGGGGAGGCUACACUUAGCAUAUCUCUGCCAUACAUACCCUCUCACCUUCUUGAAGUAAUUAUAUCAAUUUUUUUUUUUUUGAGAUGGAGUCUCACUCUGUCACCCAGGCUGGAGUGCAAUGGUACAAUCUCGGCUCACUGCAACCUCUGCCUCCCAGGUUCAAGCAAUUCCGGUGCCUCAGGCUCUGAAGUAGCUGGGACUAGAGGCGCCUGCCACCACACCUGGCUAUUUUUUAUAUUUUUAGUAGAGACAGGGUUUCACCAUAUUGGCCAGGCUGGUCUUGAACUCCUGGUCUCGUGAUCUGCCCGCCUCAGCCUCCCAAAGUGCUGGGAUUACAGGAGUGAGCCACCAAGCCCAACUCAAUUUUUUAAAUUACUUCAAAUACAUGAUCACUUGUAAACAUGUUUAGCUCUGAAGUGUGGAACUUAGAGGGCCAGGAGGAAAAGCAUGACACUUGACUUUUACUUUUCAUUUUAUAUCAUGUUAUAUGAUUUAAGUCAUUUUAAAAUGAGAAUAUAUUCUCUUUAUAAUUAAGAAAAAGCUAAUACCUCCUAAUGAAUGAAUGAAUCAAGGCAGUGAUAUCAUAAAAUAGAGAGGCAACCAGGAGGUGCUUGUGCCUCCUACAACACAGCACCUAUGACGUGGUCUGCCAAGAGGUCAACUCUGAACCUGAUCAAGACUUUGGAUCUAGCUACAAAUUUACAGAAAAUGCAGAGAUAGAGGGACAAAUUAAAGGACAUUAUAGGGAUGCAAUCAGUAAAAUGUAGACUGAGAGAAAUUCUACAGAAGACUGGUUUCUUCUUGAAAUAAAUUGCAAGGAACAAAAAAGAAACCAAGAAGGAACCCACAGACUAAAGGAGAUUCAGGAGACAUAUCAAUCCAUUGUACUACAUGGCCUGUAUUUGAAGGCUAAUUUGAACAAAUAAACUGUAAAAACAAAAUAAACUUUAAAAAGGUAAUUAGGGAAAUUUGUAAACUGAUUGGAUAUUUGAUAUUACCAAAAAUACUGUACUGCUAAAUUUUCAGGUGUGACAAUGGCAUUAAGGUCAUGUAUGUUAAAAGUUCUCUUUUAGAAAUAUAUGCUAAAAUAUUUAUGGGUAAAAGGGCAUAAUGUCUGGGAUUUGUUUCAAGAUAACUGAGGAGGAAAAUAAUAGCAGGAAUGGAGUUGAAAUGAGACUUGCCAUGAGUUGAUAAAUUUUGAAGCUGGGUGAUGGGUAUAUGGAAUUCAUUCAACUAUCUUGGCUGCUUCUAUAGAUGUUUGAAAUAUUUCAUGAUUAAAAACUUUUUUAAAAGCAAAUUAAAAUAAAUAAAAUUUAAAAUAAAUAAGCCUGAACAAAAUCAAACUCCAUCUGGCUUCACUGUGAAUCCCCUUGCAGAGCUGGUUGGCAGGGUUAGGCAGGCACUUUCCACUGUAGAUCAAAGUACGGAAAGCAAUCACUUCUCCUGGAAGGGAAGAUGGAGGGUGAAGCUGCUUGUGAGUGGAAGCUGAGAAGCUGCAGUGCACUCUGGCCAUCUGGUCUCCCUCAGCUCACAGGUGCUCUGGUUUCUAGGGCUGCACUGGGAAAUGUGGUGCCAGCACCAUGACUACAAUACAUCUCCACUCCAUCUCAGCUAGCUUGCUCUACCACCCAUCUGCAGCCAGCUUUCUCUGGCAUAAACCAUCCACAUGGACCUCUGUAGCCAAGGGGCUGUUCAGAGGUGUGUGGGAAUAAUGGAUCAUCUGGAGCCAGAUUCAGGUUCAGGUGCCCCAGUAGUCCAGGAGUGGCGGUAGGAGGCCACAUCAAGGCAGUGGAAUGGAGAGGAGGGGUGUUUGCAAGCAGCAAUGCUAAGGGAGAAUCCAAAGGACUUAUUGAAUGAUCACAUAUAGAGAGAGAGAGAGAUGGGAAAGCAGAAGAAUCCAGA
This 5531-nucleotide long non-coding RNA is filed under the name Homo sapiens (human). RNAcentral describes it as "HSALNT0314959". The record is from RNAcentral. Lineage: Eukaryota; Metazoa; Chordata; Mammalia; Primates; Hominidae.